UGCUUUCUGCUGAUCAAAGAAUCCUGAAAAAAAAAAUGCAUGAAACAGCAAAAAUAUUUGGCAGCACAAAUAUUGUUUUCAACACUAUUAAUCAAAAAUGUUUCUUGAGCAGCAAAUCAGCAUAUUAGAAUGAUUUCUGAAGGAUAUGUGACACUGAAAACUGGAUAAUAUAUAAUACUGGAUAUAAUAAUAAGUACUGGAGUACACACACACACACACACGCGCGCGCGCGCGUAUUCAGAGGACAUUUCAGCAUCUAUCUGAACUUUACAUACGAAUAUCUUGUUAAUACGAAUGAGAUCAACGCAGUAUAUAAUGAUUCCUCUAACCCUGUGCUGCUUCCUCCUGGUGAAAAUCUGACAGGGGUGUGACUGACUGUCAUUCACUUUCACGUGGCUGCCAGAAAACAACAUUUCAUUUGAUUUUAAUUAGUUGUAUUCACGGCCCUCAAUCCCAUAAAAUAAGCGUAACUACCACCACCUUGUGUACAAACAUCUCCCUGCAGAGCGCGUGAGGAUCAGCCGGGAUAGAAACAUGACACCUUACAGCGUUAGCAGACCGCUGAGAGUGUGGAUGCUUCAGAGAUAUUCCUGCUCGCCCCCAACCCCGACAUAUCAACCUGGAAGACCAUUAAAGCCUAACCAUGUGAAUACCACCUAUUCACCGCAAACUCAUUGUUCACAGCAAGGUAAGUGAGGAAACCUUUAGACUGUAAUCACAGGCGAAGCUGAUUUCCAAAUGCAAAAGACGGAGAAAUUGGAAAAGCGAAUGUUGAAAUACUCGGCUCCGGUGGCUUGUAUGAUAGGGUGUGCAGAGGAGCAAGUCUAAUUCUCUCGCCCUCCUUUUGAUGACAAAUUAGAGAACCGUGCCGAGAAAAACAUGACGUUUCGGGAUGUAUGUGAGCAAUCACAACAUACACUACUCGCUGUUCAAGACAUGCAACGCCUGCUCCAGUCAAUGAAACCGACAGGCUCGAAGCAAAUCAAACCAGGUCAGAAGUUUCAAUGCUAAUAUAGAUCAGGCGUUUACCGUAAAUAAAUAAAUGGUAAUAAACUCA
Cyprinus carpio (common carp) is the source of this 1057-nucleotide long non-coding RNA. The record is from Ensembl. Lineage: Eukaryota; Metazoa; Chordata; Actinopteri; Cypriniformes; Cyprinidae.